UUCAAAUUGUCUCAUCAGUGUCUGCUGUGUUCUAUCAAAUUGUAUCAGGCUAGGUGUAACGUGAAAGAUCCUGACACAUUGUAAACACAUUGAAGGAACCUCUGCAAUGGAGCAUUAAUGAACUGCCCAAAGCCUAGACGAAGUCACAGCAGGGAGGAUAUUCGGCCAACAUUACACACACUGGAAGACUGUGUAGAAUCUGUUAAGCCUCAGAUGACAGUGGGAGAAAAUGACAGUGAUGAGGCUCCUCUCCCACUAGCUGCCUUUAAGAUGGAGAAGAUGAAGCUGGUUGCUCAGGACAUGUGGAGAUGUGGACAUGAGGCGGAGAUGGACUUCAUGCUCUCCUAUUUAAGAAGUCGUCUGGAUGAUGUCCGACAGCCACACGGUCUACUCUCAAUGCAGGAAAUAGGCUCAUGGAUAUGGAUAUAUAUAUGGAUGUUACCUGUAGCCAUUUCAAUAUGUGUGGCCUACUUCAAUGAUGGGUUGACUUUCACAAAAUGGACACUGUCGGCAGAUCACCUUAUGGUGCUAGUGCUAGUCUAGCAUGGUCAAGUAGAAGAGGAGUUCUCAGUUAUUUAUUUUCCAGAAUGUUUCGGUCAAGGAUUCCCAGGACACCAGAACACCAGGUCACAUGCUACUUCGUAUGCACCCACACACAAGUAAGCACACACAUGCACACACACACUUACAGUACACAGAAUGAGUUGCAAGAGUAGAGGAUGGAGUACUUCGUAUGCACACACACUCAAGCAAACACACACAUGCACAUGCACAGUCACUUUACACAGAAUGAGUUGCAAGAGUAGGGGAUGGAGUACUUAGUAUGCACACAAACACACACACUCACUUACACACACACAAGCAAACACACACAUGCACAUGCUCACAGAAUGAGUUACAGUACAAGAGUAGGAGAUGGAGACAAAUGGAUGGGCAUCAUUUAUUUAUGCACAGAGAAUAUGCGGGACUAUGCGACGGUAAUUAUUUUGUACUCCUAUGCAGUACAGUUACUUAUAUCUUGCAUAUACUGUAUCUAUCUGUGUAUUAUAUUCAUGAGUUUCCUUAUUAUUUUUGUCAUUACUGUUCUAUCAUUAUUACUGUUAUUGAGUUGAUUGAGAUAAUUACAGCAAUUUCCCAUGCAUUGUGUAUAAACUGCAGGACAGUGUUUUAUGCAAGUUAAAAAAACAAAACCAUGUAUUAACCGCACCUGUGUAUUAUCCCAGUGCCCAAUAAGCAAAUUAAUCAGAAUCAGAUCAGGCUUUAAUCAUAAAGAAGAAUGAAGAAGGGAAUGCAUUUCCCCGUAUGUGUGUGGAUAUGCCCCCGUGUAUUAACUUCAUAGCUGAAGUUUACAGAGUAAACCUCGGUUUGUAGUUGGGAAUUUACAGCAUAAGUUGGCUGAGUAGAAGAGGUCUUGUCUGUUCCUGUUGUUCCUGUGCUCGUCUAUGUGUGACUCUUGUUCCUUAAAGACAAGGGGGCAUGAAAUGUUUGUGUGUGUGUGUGUCUAUGUGCAUCUUACAAUUACUAUUACACUUUGCAUUACAACUGUUACAUCAUUAAGAUAGUGAAUAAUUAGUGUUGCAGCACAGAGGGCUUUGGUAGCUUCAGUAAUCAAGGAUGUUUGGUAGUGUGGCCCUCUGCAGUUAGUUCUUUUCCCUGUGGACUCUUAUGUGAGUGUACGGACCACAAGCACUUUUUUGUAAAAUAAUUUGUAAUUUGUUUUAGACAACACAAACAAAGAUUAUGUGAAUGUGUUGUGCUGCAUUGUUUGUAACAACAUGUAUUUACAAAAAUGCUCCAGCCUUCAUUAAAUAAUUUUUUUUA
This is a long non-coding RNA of Alosa alosa (allis shad), 1821 nucleotides long. RefSeq lists it as uncharacterized. The transcript has 3 exons. Lineage: Eukaryota; Metazoa; Chordata; Actinopteri; Clupeiformes; Clupeidae. The record is from RefSeq and is a predicted model, not a curated record.